CUCAGAUUGAACGCUGGCGGCAUGCCUUACACAUGCAAGUCGAACGGCAGCACGGACUUCGGUCUGGUGGCGAGUGGCGAACGGGUGAGUAAUGUAUCGGAACGUACCUUUCAGUGGGGGAUAACGUAGCGAAAGUUACGCUAAUACCGCAUAUUCUGUGAGCAGGAAAGCAGGGGAUCGCAAGACCUUGCGCUGAUUGAGCGGCCGAUAUCAGAUUAGCUAGUUGGUGAGGUAAAGGCUCACCAAGGCGACGAUCUGUAGCGGGUCUGAGAGGAUGAUCCGCCACACUGGAACUGAGACACGGUCCAGACUCCUACGGGAGGCAGCAGUGGGGAAUUUUGGACAAUGGGGGCAACCCUGAUCCAGCCAUGCCGCGUGAGUGAAGAAGGCCUUCGGGUUGUAAAGCUCUUUCGGCCGGGAAGAAAUCGCAUGGGCUAAUACCCUGUGCGGAUGACGGUACCGGCAUAAGAAGCACCGGCUAACUACGUG
This 489-nucleotide ribosomal RNA is filed under the name uncultured bacterium. RNAcentral describes it as "bacterial SSU rRNA". It matches the Rfam family "Bacterial small subunit ribosomal RNA", at positions 23 to 507 of the family's 1533-position model. The record is from RNAcentral.